GUAGUUGACUCGUGCGACAGACACGCUGGCGGCGUGCUUAACACAUGCAAGUCGAACGGGGCACCCUUGAAAGAGAUUUCGGUCAAUGGAUAGGAAUGCUUAGUGGCGGACGGGUGAGUAACGCGUGAGUAACCUGCCUUUCAGAGGGGGACAACAGUUGGAAACGACUGCUAAUACCGCAUAACAUAUAGGUGCCGCAUGGCACUUAUAUCAAAGAUUUAUCGCUGAGAGAUGGACUCGCGUCUGAUUAGCUAGUUGGUGGGGUAACGGCCCACCAAGGCGACGAUCAGUAGCCGGACUGAGAGGUUGGCCGGCCACAUUGGGACUGAGAUACGGCCCAGACUCCUACGGGAGGCAGCAGUGGGGAAUAUUGGGCAAUGGGCGCAAGCCUGACCCAGCAACGCCGCGUGAAGGAAGAAGGCUUUCGGGUUGUAAACUUCUUUUGACAGGGAAGAGCAGAAGACGGUACCUGUCGAAUAAGCCACGGCUAACUCUGUG
This 498-nucleotide ribosomal RNA is filed under the name uncultured Oscillibacter sp. Its description in RNAcentral is "bacterial SSU rRNA". It matches the Rfam family "Bacterial small subunit ribosomal RNA", at positions 33 to 507 of the family's 1533-position model. The record is from RNAcentral. Lineage: Bacteria; Bacillati; Bacillota; Clostridia; Eubacteriales; Oscillospiraceae.